GCCGCAUAUCUGGCACGGCGCCUCCGCCCGCCGCGCCGCGCCGCCUCCUCCGCCGCCGCCCGCUCCUGACUCGCGGCGGAUCACCACCAGCUCGUUCCGGUUGUGCGAGCCGGCCACCAGCCCCGCGCUCGCCUCCAUCUCUGUCCACCGCCCCACCGGAUCUCGGUCGCGCACGGACCCCGCAGCGGCGGCACAACGAAAUGUACCUAGCUCUCGCCCUCCGCGGCCGCUCACAUGUGCAGGCAGCUGGGGGCGUGGAGGUGCUGCGCGCGGCGCCGCUCUGCGCUGCGCUGCGCUGCUCCUGCGCUGGUAUGAGCUGUGGGAUCGGUGGGUGGUGUGGUGGUAUAAUAGUACCGCGCCGCGUUGGCUUUGGUGCGUUGCUUGGGAAGCAGAGCAGCGCAACCCCCGCGUUGCUACCAGCUGCUGCUGAUUAGCGUGGUGGUGGCGGCG
RNAcentral lists this unclassified non-coding RNA (450 nucleotides) under Zea mays. RNAcentral's name for it is "misc RNA Zm00001eb097090". The record is from RNAcentral. Lineage: Eukaryota; Viridiplantae; Streptophyta; Magnoliopsida; Poales; Poaceae.